GUGUAGCUCAGAGGUGAGAGUGCUUGCCUAGCACACAAGGAGAUGUGGGUUCAACCCUCAUCAC
RNAcentral lists this transfer RNA (64 nucleotides) under Rattus norvegicus (Norway rat). It matches the Rfam family "tRNA", at positions 5 to 66 of the family's 71-position model. Rfam says of the family: Transfer RNA (tRNA) molecules are approximately 80 nucleotides in length. Their secondary structure includes four short double-helical elements and three loops (D, anti-codon, and T loops). Further hydrogen bonds mediate the characteristic L-shaped molecular structure. tRNAs have two regions of fundamental functional importance: the anti-codon, which is responsible for specific mRNA codon recognition, and the 3' end, to which the tRNAs corresponding amino acid is attached (by aminoacyl-tRNA synthetases). tRNAs cope with the degeneracy of the genetic code in two manners: having more than one tRNA (with a specific anti-codon) for a particular amino acid; and 'wobble' base-pairing, i.e. permitting non-standard base-pairing at the 3rd anti-codon position. Lineage: Eukaryota; Metazoa; Chordata; Mammalia; Rodentia; Muridae. The record is from Rfam by way of RNAcentral.